This 92-nucleotide transfer RNA is filed under the name Oscillospiraceae bacterium. Its description in RNAcentral is "tRNA-Ser". It matches the Rfam family "tRNA". Rfam says of the family: Transfer RNA (tRNA) molecules are approximately 80 nucleotides in length. Their secondary structure includes four short double-helical elements and three loops (D, anti-codon, and T loops). Further hydrogen bonds mediate the characteristic L-shaped molecular structure. tRNAs have two regions of fundamental functional importance: the anti-codon, which is responsible for specific mRNA codon recognition, and the 3' end, to which the tRNAs corresponding amino acid is attached (by aminoacyl-tRNA synthetases). tRNAs cope with the degeneracy of the genetic code in two manners: having more than one tRNA (with a specific anti-codon) for a particular amino acid; and 'wobble' base-pairing, i.e. permitting non-standard base-pairing at the 3rd anti-codon position. The record is from RNAcentral. Lineage: Bacteria; Bacillati; Bacillota; Clostridia; Eubacteriales; Oscillospiraceae.
GGAGAAGUCGCCUAGUCUGGUCGAGGGCGCACGAUUGGAAAUCGUGUAGGCCUUAACGGGUCUCGAGGGUUCGAAUCCCUCCUUCUCCGCCA